RNAcentral lists this ribosomal RNA (460 nucleotides) under uncultured bacterium. RNAcentral describes it as "partial 16S ribosomal RNA". It matches the Rfam family "Bacterial small subunit ribosomal RNA", at positions 338 to 795 of the family's 1533-position model. The record is from RNAcentral.
CCUACGGGAGGCAGCCGUGAGGAAUAUUGGUCAAUGGACGGAAGUCUGAACCAGCCAUGCCGCGUGCAGGAAGACGGUUCUAUGAGUUGUAAACUGCUUUUGUACAAGGGUAAACCUGAAUACGUGUAUUCAGCUGAAAGUACUGUACGAAUAAGGAUCGGCUAACUCCGUGCCAGCAGCCGCGGUAAUACGGAGGAUCCAAGCGUUAUCCGGAUUUAUUGGGUUUAAAGGGUGCGUAGGCGGAUUGAUAAGUUAGAGGUGAAAUGUCCGAGCUUAACUCGGGAACUGCCUCUAAUACUGUUGAUCUAGAGAGUAGAUGCGGUAGGCGGAAGGUAUGGUGUAGCGGUGAAAUGCUGAGAGAUCAUACAGAACACCGAUUGCGAAGGCAGCUGACCAAUCUAUAUCGGACGUUGAGGCACGAAAGCGUGGGGAGCGAACAGGAUUAGAGACCCUUGUAGUC